This 235-nucleotide ribosomal RNA is filed under the name uncultured bacterium. RNAcentral describes it as "partial 16S ribosomal RNA". It matches the Rfam family "Bacterial small subunit ribosomal RNA", at positions 99 to 334 of the family's 1533-position model. The record is from RNAcentral.
CGGACGGGUGAGUAACGCGUGGGUAACCUGCCUCAUACAGGGGGAUAACGGUUAGAAAUGACUGCUAAUACCGCAUAAGCGCACAGUACCGCAUGGUACGGUGUGAAAAACUCCGGUGGUAUGAGAUGGACCCGCGUCUGAUUAGCUAGUUGGCGAGGUAACGGCCCACCAAGGCGACGAUCAGUAGCCGACCUGAGAGGGUGACCGGCCACAUUGGGACUGAGACACGGCCCAG